AGUGAAACUGCGAAUGGCUCAUUAAAUCAGUUAUCGUUUAUUUGAUAGUACCUUACUACUUGGAUAACCGUGGUAAUUCUAGAGCUAAUACAUGCUAAAAAUCCCGACCUCUGGAAGGGAUGUAUUUAUUAGAUAAAAAACCAAUGGCUUCGGCCUCCUUGGUGAUUCAUGAUAACUUAACGAAUCGCAUGGCCUUGUGCCGGCGAUGGUUCAUUCAAAUUUCUGCCCUAUCAACUUUCGAUGGUAGGAUAGUGGCCUACCAUGGUUUCAACGGGUAACGGGGAAUUAGGGUUCUAUUCCGGAGAGGGAGCCUGAGAAACGGCUACCACAUCCAAGGAAGGCAGCAGGCGCGCAAAUUACCCAAUCCCGACACGGGGAGGUAGUGACAAUAAAUACUGAUACAGGGCCCUUUCGGGUCUUGUAAUUGGAAUGAGUACAAUUUAAAUCCCUUAACGAGGAACAAUUGGAGGGCAAGUCUGGUGCCAGCAGCCGCGGUAAUUCCAGCUCCAAUAGCGUAUAUUAAAGUUGUUGCAGUUAAAAAGCUCGUAGUUGAACCUUGGGUCUGGCUGGCCGGUCUGCCUCACCGCAUGCACUGGUCCGGCCGGACCUUUCCUUCUGGCUAACCUCAUGCCCUUUACUGGGUGUGUUGGGGAACCAGGACUUUUACUUUGAAAAAAUUAGAGUGUUCAAAGCAGGCAUUUGCUCGAAUACAUUAGCAUGGAAUAAUAGAAUAGGACGUGCGGUUCUAUUUUGUUGGUUUCUAGGAUCGUCGUAAUGAUUAAUAAGGGAUAGUCGGGGGCAUCCGUAUUCAAUUGUCAGAGGUGAAAUUCUUGGAUUUAUUGAAGACGAACUACUGCGAAAGCAUUUGCCAAGGAUGUUUUCAUUAAUCAGGAACGAAAGUUGAGGGAUCGAAGACGAUCAGAUACCGUCGUAGUCUCAACCAUAAACUAUGCCGACUAGGGAUCGGGCGAUGUACUAUUCGUGACUCGCUCGGCACCUUACGAGAAAUCAAAGUCUUUGGGUCUGGG
Molecule: ribosomal RNA, 1028 nt
Filed under: Donadinia echinacea
Lineage: Eukaryota; Fungi; Ascomycota; Pezizomycetes; Pezizales; Sarcosomataceae
Description: SSU rRNA
Rfam family: Eukaryotic small subunit ribosomal RNA
Source: RNAcentral